This 253-nucleotide ribosomal RNA is filed under the name uncultured bacterium. RNAcentral describes it as "partial 16S ribosomal RNA". It matches the Rfam family "Bacterial small subunit ribosomal RNA", at positions 524 to 776 of the family's 1533-position model. The record is from RNAcentral.
UACGUAGGCAGCGAGCGUUGUUCGGAGUUACUGGGCGUAAAGGGUGUGUAGGCGGUUGUUUAAGUUUGGUGUGAAAGCCCCGGGCUUAACCUGGGAAUGGCCGUUGAAACUGGCGAACUGGAGUGUGGCAGAGGGGGGUGGAAUUCCGCGUGUAGCAGUGAAAUGCGUAGAGAUGCGGAGGAACACCGAUGGCGAAGGCAGCCCCCUGGGCUAACACUGACGCUCAGGCACGAAAGCGUGGGGAGCAAACAGG